GGCGCCCGAGCCAGGUGGGAAGGCGGCGGUCUGCAAAACCGCUAUGAACGGGUUCGAUUCCCGUGGGCGCCU
Molecule: transfer RNA, 72 nt
Filed under: Chloroflexota bacterium
Lineage: Bacteria; Bacillati; Chloroflexota
Description: Chloroflexi bacterium tRNA-Cys
Rfam family: tRNA
About the family: Transfer RNA (tRNA) molecules are approximately 80 nucleotides in length.
Source: RNAcentral